RNAcentral lists this long non-coding RNA (290 nucleotides) under Rosa chinensis. RNAcentral describes it as "sRNA RchiOBHm_Chr5g0038591". Lineage: Eukaryota; Viridiplantae; Streptophyta; Magnoliopsida; Rosales; Rosaceae. The record is from RNAcentral.
CGAGAGUGCAUAUGGUCCUCAUCUAUUUUGAUCACUGCAAUUAUGGUUUACCCUCCCAUACUGACUUUCCUUGACAACGCCGCCGGUGAAUUGACUUGCUGUACCUUUUUCUCUCCAUCUCCACCGAUUGUAGAAGCACCAGUUGGCGCGGCGCGUACGCCUUCAUCACAUUUUUAGCGCUUUUUUGCGUCUUUCGGGAAAAAGCUUAAGUUUUUGGCGCCUUUGCGCCUUGCCAUGAAAACACAGGCGUUUUGAUAGCAGAAUUUCGCUUUCCACGCUUCAAGGCGCGC